RNAcentral lists this ribosomal RNA (253 nucleotides) under uncultured bacterium. RNAcentral's name for it is "partial 16S ribosomal RNA". It matches the Rfam family "Bacterial small subunit ribosomal RNA", at positions 524 to 776 of the family's 1533-position model. The record is from RNAcentral.
GACGAACCACCCAACCGUUAUUCGGAAUUACUGGGCGUAAAGGGCGCGUAGGCGGCCUGUUAAGUCGAACGUGAAAUCCCCGGGCUCAACCCGGGAACUGCGUCCGAUACUGGCAGGCUUGAAUCCGGGAGAGGGAUGUGGAAUUCCAGGUGUAGCGGUGAAAUGCGUAGAUAUCUGGAGGAACACCGGUGGCGAAGGCGGCAUCCUGGACCGGUAUUGACGCUGAGGCGCGAAAGCCAGGGGAGCAAACGGG